RNAcentral lists this ribosomal RNA (181 nucleotides) under Fusarium oxysporum. RNAcentral's name for it is "5.8S ribosomal RNA". The stretch from base 1 to 115 matches the Rfam family "5.8S ribosomal RNA", at positions 40 to 154 of the family's 154-position model. From Rfam's summary of the family: 5.8S ribosomal RNA (5.8S rRNA) is a component of the large subunit of the eukaryotic ribosome. It is transcribed by RNA polymerase I as part of the 45S precursor that also contains 18S and 28S rRNA. The record is from RNAcentral. Lineage: Eukaryota; Fungi; Ascomycota; Sordariomycetes; Hypocreales; Nectriaceae.
AGAACGCAGCAAAAUGCGAUAAGUAAUGUGAAUUGCAGAAUUCAGUGAAUCAUCGAAUCUUUGAACGCACAUUGCGCCCGCCAGUAUUCUGGCGGGCAUGCCUGUUCGAGCGUCAUUUCAACCCUCAAGCUCAGCUUGGUGUUGGGACUCGCGGUAACCCGCGUUCCCCAAAUCGAUUGGC